GAAAUGCGAUAAUUAAUGUGAAUUGCAGAAUUCAGUGAAUCAUUGAGUCUUUGAACGCACAUUGCGCCCCCUGGUAUUCCGGGGGGCAUGCCUGUCCGAGCGUCAUUGCUGCCCUCAAGCACGGCUUGUGUGUUGGGCUUCCGUCCCUGGCAACGGGGACGGGCCCAAAAGGCAGUGGCGGCACCAUGUCUGGUCCUCGAGCGUAUGGGGCUUUGUCACCCGCUCCCGUAGGUCCAGCUGGCAGCUAGCCUCGCAACCAAUCUUUUUAACCAGGUUGACCUCGGAUCAGGUAGGGAUACCCGCUGAACUUAAGC
RNAcentral lists this unclassified non-coding RNA (314 nucleotides) under plant metagenome. RNAcentral describes it as "partial contains 5.8S ribosomal RNA, internal transcribed spacer 2, and large subunit ribosomal RNA". The stretch from base 1 to 105 matches the Rfam family "5.8S ribosomal RNA", at positions 50 to 154 of the family's 154-position model. The record is from RNAcentral.